RNAcentral lists this transfer RNA (74 nucleotides) under Candidatus Woesebacteria bacterium RBG_19FT_COMBO_47_8. Its description in RNAcentral is "tRNA-Arg". It matches the Rfam family "tRNA". From Rfam's summary of the family: Transfer RNA (tRNA) molecules are approximately 80 nucleotides in length. Their secondary structure includes four short double-helical elements and three loops (D, anti-codon, and T loops). Further hydrogen bonds mediate the characteristic L-shaped molecular structure. tRNAs have two regions of fundamental functional importance: the anti-codon, which is responsible for specific mRNA codon recognition, and the 3' end, to which the tRNAs corresponding amino acid is attached (by aminoacyl-tRNA synthetases). tRNAs cope with the degeneracy of the genetic code in two manners: having more than one tRNA (with a specific anti-codon) for a particular amino acid; and 'wobble' base-pairing, i.e. permitting non-standard base-pairing at the 3rd anti-codon position. The record is from RNAcentral. Lineage: Bacteria; Candidatus Woeseibacteriota. RNAcentral also lists the same sequence under 2 other names.
GCCCCCGUAGCUCAAUUGGAUAGAGCGCAUCGGUUCUAACGAUAGGGUUGCGCGUUCGAGUCGCGCCGGGGGCA